Molecule: unclassified non-coding RNA, 171 nt
Filed under: uncultured Roesleria
Lineage: Eukaryota; Fungi; Ascomycota; Leotiomycetes; Helotiales
Description: sequence contains ITS1
Source: RNAcentral
CAGAGUUCCUGCCCUCACGGGUAGAAACCCCACCCUUGUAUAUUAUAUAUUGUUGCUUUGGCGGGCCGCCCUCACGGGCACCGGCUCACGCUGGCUCGCGCCCGCCGGGGGACCCAAACUCUUGUAUUUCUUACUUUGCAUGUCUGAGUGGAAUCAUAAACAAAUGAAUCA